AUGAAUGCGUUGAAAAGGAUUAGUACAUACAAUUCGUCAUUUCAGAGAGCCGGUGGAUGGUGAGAACCGGUAUGAGGUUGUGUGGAAUCCACCUUGGAGUAGAGCAUCGAAUUGAUAUUUUCUUUGAAGUGCUCUCGGUUUGCAGCCGUUACCUGCUAAAGUGGUAUUGUCAGAUGACAUGCAACAAGGGUGGCAACGCGGGUGCUCUCGUCCCUUCU
This 218-nucleotide non-coding RNA is filed under the name Halalkalibacter krulwichiae. RNAcentral's name for it is "Bacillus krulwichiae T-box sequence". It matches the Rfam family "T-box leader". Rfam says of the family: Uncharged tRNA acts as the effector for transcription antitermination of genes in the T-box leader family. T-boxes are found upstream of many aminoacyl-tRNA synthetase genes and some amino acid biosynthetic genes usually in Gram-positive bacteria. The anticodon of a specific tRNA base pairs to a specifier sequence within the T-box motif, and the NCCA acceptor tail of the tRNA base pairs to a conserved bulge in the T-box antiterminator hairpin. The record is from RNAcentral. Lineage: Bacteria; Bacillati; Bacillota; Bacilli; Caryophanales; Bacillaceae.